Long non-coding RNA from Ostrea edulis (European flat oyster), 649 nucleotides. RefSeq lists it as uncharacterized. NCBI's taxonomy places the organism in Eukaryota, Metazoa, Mollusca, Bivalvia, Ostreida, Ostreidae. The record is from RefSeq and is a predicted model, not a curated record. The transcript has 3 exons.
AUUGUGUUCACACUCCGAGGAGCUAGUAACUUCCGUGUUCCUCUUCUUCCUAUAUUAUCUUGUAGCGUGCAGUUUUGUAAACAGUUUAACGCAUACGCUUGGUUAAUAUCCAGAAUCCCUGAACAGUUUGAUCAGAGCAACAUGCCGGAUCUGGAUAUGAAUAUCAGGGACCCUAACGACAUCAAUGACCAUAUCAAGGUGUCGUUUGAGGACGUGUUGGCAGAACCCGAUGGCGCUCACAGCUGCGACUGUGUCUGGCGAUGCAGUAGUUGUUGUUUCAACUGCAGCAAGAAUUGUUGCUAUAGAUUGAUGACGACGCUCUGUGGCAUGUUUAUCGCUCUCUAUUGGGGUUGCGAGUUUGCUUUCAUCACGUUUGAACAGGUCUGGUUCACCACACCUUGCCUGCGGGUUUUCAGUGUGUAUCUGAGCUGUUACCAGAAGUUGUUUGGUACAUUUAUUGCCUGCGUACUCACACCAAUCUGCGAAACAAUCGGUUUGAUAUUCAGCAAUAUUUCUAUUACGAGAAAAUGAGUGUUACAACAGUAUAUUCCGUGGUAUUUCUCGGAAUGAAAUGAUUCUUGAUUUUCUACAAUAUGACAAAUUCCUAUCACUCAAGUUUGUCUUCUUUAAUAAAUCGUGUUGUUUUUCC